GAUGAACGCUGGCGGCGUGCCUAAUACAUGCAAGUCGAGCGAACGGACGAGAAGCUUGCUUCUCUGAUGUUAGCGGCGGACGGGUGAGUAACACGUGGAUAACCUACCUAUAAGACUGGGAUAACUUCGGGAAACCGGAGCUAAUACCGGAUAAUAUUUUAAACCGCAUGGUUAAAAAGUGAAAGACGGUCUUGCUUUCACUUAUAGAUGGAUCCGCGCUGCAUUAGCUAGUUGGUAAGGUAACGGCUUACCAAGGCAACGAUGCAUAGCCGACCUGAGAGGGUGAUCGGCCACACUGGAACUGAGACACGGUCCAGACUCCUACGGGAGGCAGCAGUAGGGAAUCUUCCGCAAUGGGCGAAAGCCUGACGGAGCAACGCCGCGUGAGUGAUGAAGGUCUUCGGAUCGUAAAACUCUGUUAUUAGGGAAGAACAUAUGUGUAAGUAACUGUGCACAUCUUGACGGUACCUAAUCAGAAAGCCACGGCUAACUACGUG
Molecule: ribosomal RNA, 497 nt
Filed under: uncultured bacterium
Lineage: Bacteria
Description: partial 16S ribosomal RNA
Rfam family: Bacterial small subunit ribosomal RNA
Source: RNAcentral